Molecule: long non-coding RNA, 1462 nt
Organism: Anneissia japonica
Lineage: Eukaryota; Metazoa; Echinodermata; Crinoidea; Comatulida; Comatulidae
Exons: 2
Source: RefSeq, a predicted model, not a curated record
CACUGGCAAGAUAUAAAAAUAAGAUCAAUCAGGCAGAUGUUUGUAUGAACAGAAAUGAAGGGUACAAACACCCCUACAUGUACAAUGAUAUUUUGAAGGAUACGGUUCUCCCCCCCACCCCCCUUAGAUUGGAUUGACCCAGGAGCUAUAAACCAAAUUGUCAUCGGACUGUCCUAGCUGUCAUUGCUUCACUUUUGAUGAUGUCUCUUGCCAAGAGGAAAGCCGAAAUAUCCAGUGGUGGUGACAGCUUUUCCAAAGAAGUCUUCCGCAAGCAAGUUACCAAAACUUUGGAUUGGAGAACCUGUGGAGGGUGUCAGGGAAAAUCUCCCCUCCCUCAGACAAGGCAUGCCUAUUAGGGUUUUGUGGGCUAUUAAUUGCACAAACACAAUAUCUGUAUGCAAGUCCAGAAAUUACAGAUUUUUAUCUCGCUGAGCAGCAUUAAAUCUUACACCAGUAUCAUAAUCUUACAGAAAAAAUAAUUAGUUUUCAUGAAGUCAUUCUGCAAAUCAACGUUAAAGUAGGCGUAAUCAAUUUUGUUGCCCUACUAGUAUUCAGCUUACGAUUAGAUGGAACCAGUGUGCUGUAAUGAGCAUUAAUUUCUUAAGCUUCAAUUGAACCUUGAACUUUGUUGUCAUGGUAAUUUUAAUAAACUUGACAUGUGCAUAUUAGUAUUUUAAAAAUGGUACAAAUGUAAUGUAGUUAGAUUUAUAUAGCACUUUAUACUGAAACAAAUGCAACAACUAGAUAUUUUUCAAGGUUUUGUGUGCUUUAAUAUGUACUUAUAGAUCCAUCUGGACAAAAAUAUGACAGUUUAAUGGUAAUUUUUAUAGGAAAGGAAGGUCACAUCAUGGCGAGUAUACUAACAAGUUUAGAUAUGUUAUUGUGAAGAACGAUGACACUAUUGAUUACAAGAAUAAUACAUCUUUUAUUGGUAUUUUAAUUAGACCCAAAACAAAAUUGUUUUAUUGCCCUGCACCGAAAAUUAGUGUUGGUUGGGUGGUUUAUACUAUAUGGCCUGGGACACGCAUCAGUCAAUGGCCAAUGCAUUUUGAUUGGUAAAAUGAUAACAAUAAGGCUAAAUUUCAAAUGCAUAAAGUUACUUUGCAAAAAAAGCCAACCCUAGAUUUUAAAGACUUUGCAUAGGUUAGGUUGUGCAACACAAAGUGUAUUUUGCUGCCCUUUUAAAGCACAUUAUGAUACCUUUAAAAACAUAUUGUUUAUAUUUGAAAUCAAUAAUCCUUAUGGUUUAUAGCCCUAUGUGUACCAGGGAAUAUUAAUUGCAAUGUACACAUGUACGAAUCAUUUUAAAUUACAAAACGUUUCUGAAAUGAUAAUGACAAUUUGAGUUGAUUGGAGUUUAUGAUAAGCAUAAUUUAGGAAAUUGUAUUUGAGGCUUUUAUUUCAACAAACUCAAUGGAUAAAAUUAUGCAUUAAAUCUCAAUAAUAACAUUUUCAUAAAAAA